RNAcentral lists this ribosomal RNA (876 nucleotides) under uncultured organism. RNAcentral describes it as "bacterial SSU rRNA". It matches the Rfam family "Bacterial small subunit ribosomal RNA", at positions 605 to 1495 of the family's 1533-position model. The record is from RNAcentral.
CAGCUUAACUGUAGAACUGCCAUUGAUACUGGUAUUCUUGAAUGUAGUUGAGGUGGACGGAAUGUGUAAUGUACCGGUGAAAUGCUUAGAUAUUACACAGGACACCAAUUGCGAAGGCAGCUCACUAAACUAUGAUUGACGCUGAGGCACGAAAGCGUGGGUAGCAAACAGGAUUAGAUACCCUGGUAGUCCACGCCGUAAACUAUGAUCACUCGCUGUUGGCAAUACAUCGUCAGCGGCUGAGCGAAAGCAUUAAGUGAUCCACCUGGGGAGUACGGUCGCAAGAUUGAAACUCAAAGGAAUUGACGGGGGCCCGCACAAGCGGAGGAACAUGUGGUUUAAUUCGAUGAUACGCGAGGAACCUUACCUGGGCUUAAAUGCAGAGCGACGUUCCGGGAAACCGGAAUUCCUUCGGGCGAUCUGCAAGGUGCUGCAUGGCUGUCGUCAGCUCGUGCCGUGAGGUGUCGGGUUAAGUCCCAUAACGAGCGCAACCCUUAUCGUUAGUUGCCAGCGGGUAAUGCCGGGGACUCUAACGAAACUGCCGGUGUAAACCGUGAGGAAGGUGGGGAUGACGUCAAGUCAGCACGGCCCUUAUGUCCAGGGCUACACACGUGUUACAAUGGUCGGUACAGAGGGCAGCUACCUGGCAACAGGAUGCUAAUCUCGAAAACCGGUCUCAGUUCGGAUUGGAGUCUGCAACUCGACUUCAUGAAGCUGGAUUCGCUAGUAAUCGCGCAUCAGCCAUGGCGCGGUGAAUACGUUCCCGGGCCUUGUACACACCGCCCGUCAAGCCAUGGAAGCUUGGAGUACCUGAAGUCCGUAACCGCAAGGAGCGGCCUAGGGUAAGACAAGUGACUGGGGCUAAGUCGUAACAAG